This 372-nucleotide ribosomal RNA is filed under the name uncultured organism. RNAcentral describes it as "bacterial SSU rRNA". It matches the Rfam family "Bacterial small subunit ribosomal RNA", at positions 526 to 896 of the family's 1533-position model. The record is from RNAcentral.
CGUAGGGCGCGAGCGUUAAUCGGAAUUACUGGGCGUAAAGUGUGCGCAGGCGGCCGCGCAAGUCGAGUGUGAAAGCCCCGAGCUUAACUUGGGAACUGCGCUCGAAACUACGUGGCUGGAGUGUGGCAGAGGAAGGUGGAAUUCCAGGUGUAGCGGUGAAAUGCGUAGAGAUCUGGAGGAACACCGAUGGCGAAGGCAGCCUUCUGGGCCAACACUGACGCUCAUGCACGAAAGCGUGGGGAGCAAACAGGAUUAGAUACCCUGGUAGUCCACGCCCUAAACGAUGAUGACUAGUUGUUGGAGGAGUUAAAUCCUUUAGUAACGCAGCUAACGCGUGAAGUCAUCCGCCUGGGGAGUACGGUCGCAAGAUUA